This 583-nucleotide ribosomal RNA is filed under the name uncultured saccharomyceta. Its description in RNAcentral is "eukaryotic LSU rRNA". The stretch from base 214 to 366 matches the Rfam family "5.8S ribosomal RNA". Lineage: Eukaryota; Fungi; Ascomycota. The record is from RNAcentral.
CUUGGUCAUUUAGAGGAAGUAAAAGUCGUAACAAGGUUUCCGUAGGUGAACCUGCGGAAGGAUCAUUAGAGAGAAACUGCCCUUUGGGGUACAUCUCCCGCCCUGAUUAUCUUACCAAGUUGCUUUGGUGGGCAUUCAUGCCUUGGCUACUGCCUGCCAAAGUGUAUUUAUACUCCUGUUCAUGAUCUGUCUGAGAAAUUAAUAAAUAUUUAAAACUUUCAACAACGGAUCUCUUGGUUCUGGCAUCGAUGAAGAACGCAGCGAAAUGCGAUACGUAAUGUGAAUUGCAAUUUUAGUGAAUCAUUGAAUCUUUGAACGCGCAUUGCGCCCUCUGGUAUUCCGGGGGGCAUGCCUGUUCGAGCGUCAUCACAACCCUCAAGCUAUGCUUGGUACUGGAUCUGAAUCUUUGACCAAAGAUUGAUCUCAAAAACAAUUGCGGUGCCCAGCGUUAGGCUUGGAGUGUAGUAAUCUCGAUACCGCUCAUCAUCCACACUGGAAGCUUGCCAAAUAUUAUCAUAAAACUGGUUGACCUCGGAUCAGGUAGGGAUACCCGCUGAACUUAAGCAUAUCAAUAAGCGGAGGA